UUGCCGCAUCCCACGUCCGCACGCAUGCCCGCACUCCUCUUCCUCCCAUCGGGCCGGCCCACAUCGUCCCGCGCCGCGCCGCACGCCGCCUCCUGCUCCUCCUCCUCCCAUCGACUGCCACAGCACGGCCGGGCCGCCGCCGCCACGCUGCCCCCCAUCCUCCCGCCCCGCCGUGCCGCUCGCCGCCGCUCAGCUUCGCCCCGCCCUCCGCUGCCGCUCAGCUUGACGUGAAUCGCCAUUGGUAUCGAGUGAAUACGGCGGCGGCGUGCGUGAGGACAAGCUAGGGGAGUACGUGACUUAAUUUUGUCUGAUUUGUUUCUGGCUUUCUUUCCUUUUACCGUGGAGUCAAUCAAUCAAGGAUACGGCUCAAGGAAUCAAUCUCGUGUAUUUUAAUAGCCGUCAAUGCUCCUCACCUCCCAAAUCGUCGAUCCAUGGUUCCGGCGCAGGCCCAGAACCUGACAGACUCUUUGGUUGAAGCCAAGUCUAACAUUGUCGUUAAGGUUAGCUAUUCAAAUAUAUCCCACUUGAGCUACAACACCAAUCGUAGUUAAGAUGACUGUGACCAUAUAAUGGAGGGAGCUUGUCAAAUUUCAACUAAAUAUGAAGCCUGAUAUCAAAGACUUGGAAAUGCUUCUCGAAUCUUCGUCCAGGCUGGUGGCACACUGAACAAGUUAUGCCAUUACUUUUGCAUGCAGUAAUCUUGUUCGUGCCUUUGGAAGCAACGAGAUUUGUCCAGACUGAAACAAAUGCAGCAAAGAAGAUAUUUGCUAGAGGGAAACAUGUGCACUGCAGUUCUGUUGAGCGAGAUUAAGUCGGGUGCACAUUUGUUUGGGGAAUCUUAUGGGAAGUAGCGAAACUAUGAUUUGGCCGUGGAGGCGUCACCUAACAAUUGUGCUUUACAGGAGUUGGCGAUGGAAAUAGCUGGGGUGUCAUUAUUCUUGCUUGAUCUGGGCAUAUCACUGUUGACCUGCUGGAAGAGGUGUGCUGGGAGUACAACAUACAAGCUGACGUCGGUAUCGCGACAUCAUCAGGGAGGUCGGCAAUGAGAACAUGCGAUGUUCAAAUUGACUAGGGGAUGUUCGUGGCAAUGGUGAAGAAGGGGAUUAUCAGGAAUGGAAGUCUGACCAUCAUUCUCCAUGGAGCAGACGACCUCGACUAGCCUUUGAUUGAAAUAUUCAUAUACAACACACUAUAUUUGUUCGCAUUGUGCUAUAGAUCAUAUCAAUAUUUUUAAGUCAAGUCGUGUAAAAAAACUGAGGAUAACGAGUAUAGGAGAAGCUUUAAUAUUAGAGCAAUAGGGGAGGAGCAAAUGAUUGAAUGGGCUAUCAGCCGUAUAAAAUAAAACUGAGGGUAACGUCACCAGGUGGAAAACUAUAUUUGAUUGACAUCAUAACACUAGCAAGGUGAAUAACAAUGUAACAUUAUCUUUUCAUUAGUUGAUCCAUUCAACUUCUGGUUGAUAUGAUUGACAUGAUAUUUGGAAAGGGAAGUUAUUUGUUAA
Long non-coding RNA from Triticum aestivum (bread wheat), 1501 nucleotides. RefSeq lists it as uncharacterized. NCBI's taxonomy places the organism in Eukaryota, Viridiplantae, Streptophyta, Magnoliopsida, Poales, Poaceae. The transcript has 7 exons. The record is from RefSeq and is a predicted model, not a curated record.